This 603-nucleotide ribosomal RNA is filed under the name uncultured fungus. RNAcentral describes it as "eukaryotic LSU rRNA". It matches the Rfam family "Eukaryotic large subunit ribosomal RNA", at positions 23 to 641 of the family's 3401-position model. Lineage: Eukaryota; Fungi. The record is from RNAcentral.
ACCCGCUGAACUUAAGCAUAUCAAUAAGCGGAGGAAAAGAAACCAACAGGGAUUGCCCUAGUAACGGCGAGUGAAGCGGCAACAGCUCAAAUUUGAAAUCUGGCGUCUUUGGCGUCCGAGUUGUAAUUUGCAGAGGGCGCUUUGGCAUUGGCAGCGGUCCAAGUUCCUUGGAACAGGACGUCACAGAGGGUGAGAAUCCCGUACGUGGUCGCUAGCCUUUACCGUGUAAAGCCCCUUCGACGAGUCGAGUUGUUUGGGAAUGCAGCUCUAAAUGGGAGGUAAAUUUCUUCUAAAGCUAAAUACUGGCCAGAGACCGAUAGCGCACAAGUAGAGUAAUCGAAAGAUGAAAAGCACUUUGGAAAGAGAGUUAAAAAGCACGUGAAAUUGUUGAAAGGGAAGCGCUUGCAGCCAGACUUGCCUGUAGUUGCUCAUCCGGGUUUUUACCCGGUGCACUCUUCUAUAGGCAGGCCAGCAUCAGUUUGGGCGGUUGGAUAAAGGUCUCUGUCAUGUACCUCUCUUCGGGGAGAACUUAUAGGGGAGACGACAUGCAACCAGCCCGGACUGAGGUCCGCGCAUCUGCUAGGAUGCUGGCGUAAUGGCUGU